Molecule: ribosomal RNA, 253 nt
Filed under: uncultured bacterium
Lineage: Bacteria
Description: partial 16S ribosomal RNA
Rfam family: Bacterial small subunit ribosomal RNA
Source: RNAcentral
UACAGAGGAGCCAAGCGUUGUCCGGAUUGACUGGGCGUAAAGCGCACGCAGGCGGUCGCGCGCGUGGGGUGUGAAAUCUGGCCGCUUAACGGCCAGGCGCCAUCCCAUACGGCGCGACUGGAGUGAUGCAGAGGUCGAUGGAAUUGCCGGUGUAGUGGUGAAAUGCGUAGAGAUCGGCAGGAACACCCAGGGGGAAACCAGUCGACUGGGCAUCUACUGACGCUGAGGUGCGAAAGCGUGGGGAGCAAACAGG